UCCAACUUAUCGCUGGCGGUCUCCUGCGAGUUCCGCCUUUCGGCAUGGCAACACAGGACAAGGGUUGCGCUCGUUGCGGGACUUAACCCAACAUCUCACGACACGAGCUGACGACAGCCAUGCAGCACCUCGACUCCCGUCCCUUACGGGAACCCCCUGUUUCCAGGGGUAGCGUGAGCCGUUCGAGCCCAGGUAAGGUUCUUCGCGUUGCGUCGAAUUGAACCACAUGCUCCACCGCUUGUGCGGGCCCCCGUCAAUUCCUUUGAGUUUCAGCCUUGCGACUGUACUCCCCAGGCGGCACAUUUAACGCGUUAGCUCCGGCACGGACCAACUGAAUGGCCCACACCAAAUGUGCAUCGUUUAGGGCGUGGACUAC
RNAcentral lists this unclassified non-coding RNA (376 nucleotides) under uncultured Bryobacterales bacterium. Its description in RNAcentral is "contains 16S-23S intergenic spacer region". Lineage: Bacteria; Pseudomonadati; Acidobacteriota; Terriglobia; Bryobacterales. The record is from RNAcentral.